CAUCGUGAGGUGGAAUCUGAAGGAAGUCGGCAGCAAAGCUCCGGUCUGAGGAACACGAACUGCAUAUAAGGCAUAUACCUGUUGGGUGAAUUUGCAAUACAAAACAAAAGCCCUAAACUAUUCGAAACAGGUGAUGUAAAUGCAGCGGAUAUAUGGAGUGAAAGUAAG
This 168-nucleotide non-coding RNA is filed under the name marine eukaryotic metagenome. The record is from RNAcentral.